Triticum dicoccoides is the source of this 389-nucleotide long non-coding RNA. RefSeq lists it as uncharacterized. The transcript is spliced from 2 exons. The record is from RefSeq and is a predicted model, not a curated record. Lineage: Eukaryota; Viridiplantae; Streptophyta; Magnoliopsida; Poales; Poaceae.
UUCAUGCCCUCUUAGUUGCUUUUGGGAUUGUUCAUUCGUGGAGACAUAUGGGAGACGUCAAGCUGACAGGCUUGUUAUGCCUGUUCCUGCUCAUACCAGUUUUAGUUUCUGGUUCGGAAGCAGAGAUGAUAUGCGAGCGCUAUAGUGUGACCUAUUUUACUUUAGUAUGCAAGUAUGAUCUAUGUGUUCAUGCAUGCCACAAGGAGCACAAGGAGAGCUUUCAUAAAGCCUUUUGUUUCGUGUUCCCCAGACUUUGUAUGUGCCGAUGGAAGUGUUGAAUAAGAAACAUGUUCCAAGUAUCAUAGGGUGUGUGAUGUAACAAGUAAUAAUGUUUUGUAGUGCGAUGAAUUGACAAUGAGCAAUGGAAGGAGUUGAGGAUCUACCAAAUA